CCAGGGCCUAAUGAAUUUUUUUUGUCUUUGCAGACUAUUGGGAAUAUUCUGGAAGUGCGCCAGGAUUGGUGAACGAAAGAGCCCCUACGUAGCUGUGUGCUGUGUGGUGAUGGCCUUCAGCAUUCUGUUUGUACAGUAGCAACUGGAGGUUGUCCCUUAGACCCUGCUACCAAACAGCAAAGCAUGGAAGAAAUUACAGCAGGAAAAAAUUGAGAAGCAUCAUCAGUUCUCCUCCCACAUGCUGGAUAGCCAGUCUCUUGGUGAUCAUAAUGUAACUAACUCCAGAAUGAUAUGUAGAUAAUAAUGUCACAUCAGUACUGAAACUCCUGAUGUAACUUAAAAAGAUGUCUGUUGUGUUUUUGAGUUCCACAAGAAUAUAUUUUGUACCAUGCAAUUGAAAAAGUUUUUAAUGUUUUUGUUUGAUAGACCUGUUUAAUUAAAUUUAACAACUAUACAUCUGGCAAUAGAACCACUCUUGUAAGAAUGAAGAACAUUAUAGAAUAUGUUUACUGAGUAUUUUCAGUUCUUAAUGUCUGAACAAUUCCUGUGAUGUUGUGAUAGGUAUGAUCACUUGUUUAAAAUGGAUCUCUUAAAUGUCUAAGUCACAUUCAGCUUCCAUUUUCUAAUCUUGUAGUUUCUUAAUCUAUCAAUAUUUCUGUUGUUAAGAUAAAAUAUAAAUAAGGAUGGGGAUCAUAAUUGUAGUGAAGUCUGACUAUCUGCUGAGGAUACACAAAUGUAGGAUUUGAAAACCAGAAUUAUUCUCUGUGUGUGUGUGUGUGUGUGUGUGUGUGUGUGUGUAUCUUUACAGAUCAAGCUCACAGGUGAAUCAUUCCCUAAUAUUUUUUUCUUUUCAAAAAGAUUCUAGUGGCUCUACUACUGUUCCUAAGGCAUUUAAUACAAGGCUGUUAAGUCAGCUGAGGGAAUAGUUAGCUUCUCAGUAGUCCAGAGAUAGGAAAGUUGUAUGUCCCCAUGUUCUAAAGGUUUU
Molecule: non-coding RNA, 985 nt
Organism: Meleagris gallopavo (turkey)
Lineage: Eukaryota; Metazoa; Chordata; Aves; Galliformes; Phasianidae
Source: RefSeq, a predicted model, not a curated record